AGGAAAUAGAUACCCUGGUAGUCCACGCUGUAAACGAUGGGUACUAGAUUUGGUGGGUCUUGACCCCCGCCGAAAUCGGCGCUAAACGCACUAAGUACCCCGCCUGGGAAGUACGGUCGCAAGACUAAAACUCAAAGGAAUUGACGGGGCCCGCACAAGCGGUGGAUCAUGUGGUUUAAUUCGAAGCAACGCGAAAAACCUUACCUGGAUUUGACAUCCCCUGACAGCCGUAGAGAUACGGUUUCGGUAGCAAUACCGCAGGGAGACAGGUGCUGCAUGGCUGUCGUCAGCUCGUGUGGUGACAUGUUGGGUUAAGUCCCGCAACGAGCGCAACCCCUGUCCUUAGUUGCCAGCAUUUAGUUGGGCACUCUAGGGAGACUGCCGUGGUUAACACGGAGGAAGGUGGGGAUGACGUCAAGUCCUCAUGGCCUUUAUAUCCAGGGCGACACACGUGAUACAAUGGACGGUACAGAGGGAUGCCAAGUGGCAACACGGAGCUAAUCUCAAAAAGCCGUUCUCAGUUCGGAUUGGAGUCUGCAACUCGACUCC
This 549-nucleotide ribosomal RNA is filed under the name uncultured bacterium. RNAcentral's name for it is "bacterial SSU rRNA". It matches the Rfam family "Bacterial small subunit ribosomal RNA", at positions 774 to 1319 of the family's 1533-position model. The record is from RNAcentral.